UAAAGCGUAGAGCUGUGUUUUUAGUCUUUUUUGAACUGUUUUACAAUCCAGUGUUGAAUUGAUAAGUUUGGAUUCACUCUGAUAUUUGCAGAUUUAACAUCCUACUUCACAAGAUGCUCAUAGCCUUGAUCCAUUACAGCCGCUGCCUCAUCCAUCUCUGCUCAUAUCCUUGAUCCAAUACAGCAGCCACCCCGUCCAUCUCUGCUCAUAACCUAAACUAAUAGAAGCCAGAGGGAAGAAAUGGAAGCCAACAAGCAAGAGCAACGGCUCUAUAUCUGGAUCACUGCCGUGCCUAGAAGAUACAACAGCACAAUUUACAAAUCCAAAUUUCCAGGAAGUCUCUCCACAUACCUCUAGUACAAAAGAUGCUUCAGAGACUAGAGGGUCAGUGGGGAAAGAGAGAAAAUAUUCAACUCCUAGUUCAGGACAAAAGGGAAGAAAGCCGGCUGUUGAAAGAAAUCCAAGAAUGACUGUCGCAACUCGCUCCUUUCUGUAAAGUAUUCAUGGUGUUUUACUUAAAAUAUUUGCUCUUAUGAUGGUCAAUAAUAUUAAUAGUUAUGCUUUGUAAAAGAAUUUAUUCUUUACUUAUAAUUAAUGGAUCAUUCUAAGUUAUUAUAUGUUUAGUUGCUAUAGUAAGAUGAUGUGAAAGAUUUGUUGCCUGUUAAAUAUUUCUGGGAUCUUUGCUUUAUUUUUAUAUUAUGAUUUGUGCUUCCAAAGUUGAGCUGUAAUUUUAUUGUUUAUACAAAUGUAGAAUAAAGCUUAAGUUUGGGGAGAAAAAUAAAAGCUAGAGUUUUC
RNAcentral lists this long non-coding RNA (795 nucleotides) under Homo sapiens (human). Its description in RNAcentral is "HSALNT0400605". Lineage: Eukaryota; Metazoa; Chordata; Mammalia; Primates; Hominidae. The record is from RNAcentral.